Molecule: ribosomal RNA, 439 nt
Filed under: uncultured bacterium
Lineage: Bacteria
Description: bacterial SSU rRNA
Rfam family: Bacterial small subunit ribosomal RNA
Source: RNAcentral
ACGCGCGGAACCUUACCAGGUCUUGACAUCCUCUGACACUCCUAGAGAUAGGACGUUCCCCUUCGGGGGACAGAGUGACAGGUGGUGCAUGGUUGUCGUCAGCUCGUGUCGUGAGAUGUUGGGUUAAGUCCCGCAACGAGCGCAACCCUUGAUCUUAGUUGCCAGCAUUUAGUUGGGCACUCUAAGGUGACUGCCGGUGACAAACCGGAGGAAGGUGGGGAUGACGUCAAAUCAUCAUGCCCCUUAUGACCUGGGCUACACACGUGCUACAAUGGACGGUACAAACGGUUGCCAACCCGCGAGGGGGAGCUAAUCCGAUAAAACCGUUCUCAGUUCGGAUUGUAGGCUGCAACUCGCCUACAUGAAGCCGGAAUCGCUAGUAAUCGCGGAUCAGCAUGCCGCGGUGAAUACGUUCCCGGGCCUUGCACUCACCGCCCGU